This 394-nucleotide ribosomal RNA is filed under the name uncultured bacterium. RNAcentral describes it as "partial 16S ribosomal RNA". It matches the Rfam family "Bacterial small subunit ribosomal RNA", at positions 523 to 918 of the family's 1533-position model. The record is from RNAcentral.
AUACGUAGGGGACGAGCGUUGUCCGGAAUUACUGGGCGUAAAGGGCGCGCAGGCGGAUAUUUAAGUCAGCUGUAAAAGGCAUGAGCUCAACUCAUGUAUGCGGUUGAAACUGGGUAUCUAGAGUGCUGGAGAGGUAGGCGGACUUCCCGGUGUAGCGGUGAAAUGCGUAGAUAUCGGGAAGAACACCAGUGGCGAAGGCGGCUUACUGGCCAGCAACUGACGCUGAGGCGCGAAAGCCAGGGGAGCGAACGGGAUUAGAUACCCCGGUAGUCCUGGCCGUAAACGAUGAAUGCUAGGUGUGGGUGUCGAGAGGCAUCCGUGCCGGAGUUAACGCGAUAAGCAUUCCGCCUGGGGAGUACGAUCGCAAGAUUGAAACUCAAAGGAAUUGACGGGG